AGACAAGCGAUGAUGGGAAGCAGUAAGCGGUCAGCGAAAGCCAAGAGAGAGGGUGCGGCAGGUGUAAGCACCCGUGACGCGCCGCCCAAGUCGUCCCUGAGCUUCGGGCUGAACGGAAAGUAGGCUUCGACGGCGGUCCUCCGUUACCGGGACAGGGUGUUUUUGCACCCAUGAGCGCGGGUAGAUCCCGAAUACAGGUGGUACCACGGACUUUACGUUCGCCCUGUUU
This 229-nucleotide non-coding RNA is filed under the name Bacillota bacterium. Its description in RNAcentral is "Firmicutes bacterium T-box sequence". It matches the Rfam family "T-box leader". Rfam says of the family: Uncharged tRNA acts as the effector for transcription antitermination of genes in the T-box leader family. Lineage: Bacteria; Bacillati; Bacillota. The record is from RNAcentral.